GAUGAAAGCAGGAAACUCUUCUCUGACUUGGGGAGUUCCUACGCAAAACAACUGGGCUUCCGGGACAGCUGGGUCUUCAUAGGAGCCAAAGACCUCAGGGGUAAAAGCCCCUUUGAGCAGUUCUUAAAGAACAGCCCAGACACAAACAAAUACGAGGGAUGGCCAGAGCUGCUGGAGAUGGAGGGCUGCAUGCCCCCGAAGCCAUUUUAGGGUGGCUGUGGCUCUUCCUCAGCCAGGGGCCUGAAGAAGCUCCUGCCUGACUUAGGAGUCAGAGCCCGGCAGGGGCUGAGGAGGAGGAGCAGGGGGUGCUGCGUGGAAGGUGCUGCAGGUCCUUGCACGCUGUGUCGCGCCUCUCCUCCUCGGAAACAGAACCCUCCCACAGCACAUCCUACCCGGAAGACCAGCCUCAGAGGGUCCUUCUGGAACCAGCUGUCUGUGGAGAGAAUGGGGUGCUUUCGUCAGGGACUGCUGACGGCUGGUCCUGAGGAAGGACAAACUGCCCAGACUUGAGCCCAAUUAAAUUUUAUUUUUGCUG
Molecule: long non-coding RNA, 535 nt
Filed under: Homo sapiens (human)
Lineage: Eukaryota; Metazoa; Chordata; Mammalia; Primates; Hominidae
Description: HSALNT0055199
Source: RNAcentral